CCUACGGGGUGCAGCAGUGGGGAAUAUUGGACAAUGGGCGAAAGCCUGAUCCAGCCAUGCCGCGUGUGUGAAGAAGGCCUUCGGGUUGUAAAGCACUUUCAGUGGGGAAGAAAGCCUUGGGGCUAAUACCCUCGAGGAAGGACAUCACCCACAGAAGAAGCACCGGCUAACUCCGUGCCAGCAGCCGCGGUAAUACGGAGGGUGCGAGCGUUAAUCGGAAUUACUGGGCGUAAAGCGCGCGUAGGCGGUCUGAUAAGCCGGUUGUAAAAGCCCCGGGCUCAACCUGGGAACGGCAUCCGGAACUGUCAGGCUAGAGUGCAGGAGAGGAAGGUAGAAUUCCCGGUGUAGCGGUGAAAUGCGUAGAGAUCGGGAGGAAUACCAGUGGCGAAGGCGGCCUUCUGGACUGACACUGACGCUGAGGUGCGAAAGCGUGGGUAGCAAACAGGAUUAGAUACCCUUGUAGUC
RNAcentral lists this ribosomal RNA (465 nucleotides) under Vreelandella stevensii. RNAcentral describes it as "partial 16S ribosomal RNA". It matches the Rfam family "Bacterial small subunit ribosomal RNA", at positions 338 to 795 of the family's 1533-position model. Lineage: Bacteria; Pseudomonadati; Pseudomonadota; Gammaproteobacteria; Oceanospirillales; Halomonadaceae. The record is from RNAcentral.